Non-coding RNA from Trichobilharzia regenti, 73 nucleotides. Lineage: Eukaryota; Metazoa; Platyhelminthes; Trematoda; Strigeidida; Schistosomatidae. The record is from Rfam.
GCGUCGGUGGCACAGUGGUUAGCACGCUCGCCAGCCAAGCAUAUGGUCCUGGGUUCGAGUCCCGGUCGACGCA